Molecule: ribosomal RNA, 496 nt
Filed under: uncultured bacterium
Lineage: Bacteria
Description: partial 16S ribosomal RNA
Rfam family: Bacterial small subunit ribosomal RNA
Source: RNAcentral
AUUGAACGCUGGCGGAAUGCUUUACACAUGCAAGUCGAACGGUAGAGGGGGCAACCCCUCGAGAGUGGCGAACGGGUGAGUAAUAUAUCGGAACGAGCCCAGUCGUGGGGGAUAACGUAGCGAAAGUUACGCUAAUACCGCAUACGAUCUAAGGAUGAAAGCGGGGGAUCGCAAGACUUCGCGCGAUUGGAGCGGCCGAUAUCAGAUUAGGUAGUUGGUGGGGUAAAGGCUCACCAAGCCAACGAUCUGUAGCUGGUCUGAGAGGACGACCAGCCACACUGGAACUGAGACACGGUCCAGACUCCUACGGGAGGCAGCAGUGGGGAAUUUUGGACAAUGGACGCAAGUCUGAUCCAGCCAUUCCGCGUGCAGGAUGAAGGCCCUCGGGUUGUAAACUGCUUUUGUACGGAACGAAAAGGUCUCUCUUAAUACGGGGGACUCAUGACGGUACCGUAAGAAUAAGCACCGGCUAACUACGUGCCAGCAGCCGCCGUAA